RNAcentral lists this ribosomal RNA (468 nucleotides) under uncultured bacterium. RNAcentral describes it as "partial 16S ribosomal RNA". It matches the Rfam family "Bacterial small subunit ribosomal RNA", at positions 28 to 507 of the family's 1533-position model. The record is from RNAcentral.
GACGAACGCUGGCGGCGUGCUUAACACAUGCAAGUCGAACGGAAAGGCCCUGCUUUUGUGGGGUGCUCGAGUGGCGAACGGGUGAGUAACACGUGAGUAACCUGCCCUUGACUUUGGGAUAACUUCAGGAAACUGGGUCUAAUACCGGAUAGGAGCUCCUGCUGCAUGGUGGGGGUUGGAAAGUUUCGGCGGUUGGGGAUGGACUCGCGGCUUAUCAGCUUGUUGGUGGGGUAGUGGCUUACCAAGGCUUUGACGGGUAGCCGGCCUGAGAGGGUGACCGGACACAUUGGGACUGAGAUACGGCCCAGACUCCUACGGGAGGCAGCAGUGGGGAAUAUUGCACAAUGGGCGGAAGCAUGAUGCAGCCACGCCGCGUGCGGGAUGACGGCCUUCGGGUUGUAAACCGCUUUCGCCUGUGACGAAGCGUGAGUGACGGUAAUGGGUAAAGAAGCACCGGCUAACUACGUG